CCUUGACAUACUAAGAACUUUCCAGAGAUGGAUUGGUGCCUUCGGGAACUUAGAUACAGGUGCUGCAUGGCUGUCGUCAGCUCGUGUCGUGAGAUGUUGGGUUAAGUCCCGCAACGAGCGCAACCUUUUCCUAUUUGCCAGCGGGUCAUGCCGGGAACUUUAAGGAUACUGCCAGUGACAAACUGGAGGAAGGCGGGGACGACGUCAAGUCAUCAUGGCCCUUACGGCCAGGGCUACACACGUGCUACAAUGGUCGGUACAAAGGGUUGCUACCUCGCGAGAGGCUGCUAAUCUCAAAAAGCCGAUCGUAGUCCGGAUCGCAGUCUGCAACUCGACUGCGUGAAGUCGGAAUCGCUAGUAAUCGCGGAUCAGAAUGCCGCGGUGAAUACGUUCCCGGGCCUUGUACACACCGCCCGUCACACCAUGGGAGUUUGUUGCACCAGAAGUAGGUAGUCUAACCGCAAGGAGGACGCUUACCACGGUGUGGCCGAUGACUGGGGUGAAGUCGUAACAAGGUAGGCGUAGAUGA
Molecule: ribosomal RNA, 529 nt
Filed under: uncultured bacterium
Lineage: Bacteria
Description: bacterial SSU rRNA
Rfam family: Bacterial small subunit ribosomal RNA
Source: RNAcentral